Molecule: ribosomal RNA, 253 nt
Filed under: uncultured bacterium
Lineage: Bacteria
Description: partial 16S ribosomal RNA
Rfam family: Bacterial small subunit ribosomal RNA
Source: RNAcentral
UACGGGGGGGGCAAGCGUUGUUCGGAAUUACUGGGCGUAAAGGGUUUGUAGGUGGCUUGCUAAGUCAGACGUGAAAUCCCUCAGCUUAACUGGGGAACUGCGUCUGAGACUGGCAAGCUUGAGUGCAGGAGAGGAACGCGGAAUUCCAGGUGUAGCGGUGAAAUGCGUAGAUAUCUGGAGGAACACCGGUGGCGAAGGCGGCGUUCUGGGCUGUAACUGACACUGAGGAACGAAAGCCAGGGGAGCAAACGGG